UACGUAGGGACCGAGCGUUGUCCGGAAUCAUUGGGCGUAAAGAGCGUGUAGGCGGCCACUUAAGUCCUGCGUGAAAUCUUGCGGCUCAACCGCAAGCGGUCGUGGGAAACUGGGUGGCUAGAGUGCGGGGAGAGGAGAGUGGAAUUCCUGGUGUAGCGGUGGAAUGCGCAGAUAUCAGGAAGAACACCCGUGGCGAAGGCGGCUCUCUGGAACGCAACUGACGCUGAGACGCGAAAGCGUGGGGAGCAAACAGGAUUAGAA
Molecule: ribosomal RNA, 261 nt
Filed under: uncultured bacterium
Lineage: Bacteria
Description: partial 16S ribosomal RNA
Rfam family: Bacterial small subunit ribosomal RNA
Source: RNAcentral